AUUGAACGCUGGCGGCAGGCUUAACACAUGCAAGUCGAGCGGGGUGAUGGUGCUUGCACUAUCACUUAGCGGCGGACGGGUGAGUAAUGCUUAGGAAUCUGCCUAUUAGUGGGGGACAACAUCUCGAAAGGGAUGCUAAUACCGCAUACGUCCUACGGGAGAAAGCAGGGGAUCACUUGUGACCUUGCGCUAAUAGAUGAGCCUAAGUCGGAUUAGCUAGUUGGUGGGGUAAAGGCCUACCAAGGCGACGAUCUGUAGCGGGUCUGAGAGGAUGAUCAGCCACACUGGGACUGGGACCCGGCCCAGACUCCUACGGGAGGCAGCAGUGGGGAAUAUUGGGCAAUGGGGGGAACCCUGAUCCAGCCAUGCCGCGUGUGUGAAGGAGGCCUUAUGGUUGUAAAGCACUUUAAGCGAGGAGGAGGCUCUUUUGGUUAAUACCCAAGAUGAGUGGACGUUACUCGCAGAAUAAGCACCGGCUAACUCUGUGCCAGCCGCCGCCGUAA
Molecule: ribosomal RNA, 503 nt
Filed under: uncultured bacterium
Lineage: Bacteria
Description: partial 16S ribosomal RNA
Rfam family: Bacterial small subunit ribosomal RNA
Source: RNAcentral